This 256-nucleotide ribosomal RNA is filed under the name uncultured bacterium. RNAcentral's name for it is "partial 16S ribosomal RNA". It matches the Rfam family "Bacterial small subunit ribosomal RNA", at positions 524 to 776 of the family's 1533-position model. The record is from RNAcentral.
UACGUAGGGGGGCAAGCGUUGUCCGGAUUUAUUGGGCGUAAAGAGCGUGUAGGCGGCCAGAUAGGUCCGUUGUGAAAACCCGGAGGCCUCAACCUCGGGCCUGCAGUGGGUACGGGCAGACUAGAGUGCGGUAGGGGAGAUUGGAAUUCCUGGUGUAGCGGUGGAAUGCGCAGAUAUCAGGAGGAACACCAAUGGCGAAGGCAGAUCUCUGGGCCGUAACUGACGCUGAGGAGCGAAAGCAUGGGGAGCGAACAGG